Molecule: unclassified non-coding RNA, 343 nt
Filed under: soil metagenome
Description: partial contains 5.8S ribosomal RNA, internal transcribed spacer 2, and large subunit ribosomal RNA
Rfam family: 5.8S ribosomal RNA (bases 1-121)
Source: RNAcentral
GAUGAAGAACGUAGCGAAAUGCGAUAAGUAAUGCGAAUUGCAGAAUUUCCGUGAGUCAUCGAAUCUUUGAACGCACAUUGCGCCCACUGGUAUUCCGGUGGGCAUGCCUGUUCGAGCGUCAUUAUCCCCCCUCAAACCCCGUGUUUGGUGUUAGACCCAAGUUGUGUGAACAACUGGUCUCAAAGACAAUGACGGCGUCCGUGGGACCCUCGGUGCAACGAGCUUUUAGGAGCACGCGCUGAGUCUCAAGGACCCUCCGGGCCGGUCUCCUAUUUAUCAUCAAGGUUGACCUCGGAUCAGGUAGGAAUACCCGCUGAACUUAAGCAUAUCAAUAAGCGGAGGA